GGUCAGAAUAGCCCCUUCCCCAGAAAUCAGUACCCCCGAACCGAUGCCUUCAUCCAUGACCAUUCGUCUGCUUUCUAAGCAGACGGUCGAAGGUUCGAAUCCUUCCGCGAUCA
Molecule: transfer RNA, 113 nt
Filed under: Flagellimonas abyssi
Lineage: Bacteria; Pseudomonadati; Bacteroidota; Flavobacteriia; Flavobacteriales; Flavobacteriaceae
Description: tRNA-Arg
Source: RNAcentral